This 489-nucleotide ribosomal RNA is filed under the name Vibrio agarivorans. RNAcentral describes it as "bacterial SSU rRNA". It matches the Rfam family "Bacterial small subunit ribosomal RNA", at positions 83 to 568 of the family's 1533-position model. Lineage: Bacteria; Pseudomonadati; Pseudomonadota; Gammaproteobacteria; Vibrionales; Vibrionaceae. The record is from RNAcentral.
UAAGGGCGUCGAGCGGCGGACGGGUGAGUAAUGCCUGGGAAUAUGCCUUGAUGUGGGGGAUAACUAUUGGAAACGAUAGCUAAUACCGCAUAAUGCCUUCGGGCCAAAGAGGGGGACCUUCGGGCCUCUCGCGUCAAGAUUAGCCCAGGUGGGAUUAGCUAGUUGGUGAGGUAAAGGCUCACCAAGGCGACGAUCCCUAGCUGGUCUGAGAGGAUGAUCAGCCACACUGGAACUGAGACACGGUCCAGACUCCUACGGGAGGCAGCAGUGGGGAAUAUUGCACAAUGGGCGCAAGCCUGAUGCAGCCAUGCCGCGUGUGUGAAGAAGGCCUUCGGGUUGUAAAGCACUUUCAGUCGUGAGGAAGGUGGUGUAGUUAAUAGCUGCAUCAUUUGACGUUAGCGACAGAAGAAGCACCGGCUAACUCCGUGCCAGCAGCCGCGGUAAUACGGAGGGUGCGAGCGUUAAUCGGAAUUACUGGGCGUAAAGCGC